GGGAGAACCAACCCAUCAGGAAUUCGUUUUUUUCUACCCAUUAUAUGCUCACACACUUUUCAAAAUUCCAAAUUUGCCACUCUCUUUCAUUACCCAACAAAACCUAAUACGUUUUGUCAAAAAAAACCCCUUCUUCUCUUUUUCUUAGCCGCCAUCUUCUCCCAGCUACCACCUCUUCGUGCUCAAGAAUUCUCAGCAUGGAGUGUAGGUCUAAUUUGAAAUGAGGAAGGCCCCAACAAAAACAUUUUUGGACAGCCAGUGAGGAUGCAGCACUGAUGGAGUCAUUGAAGGAAUUAUAUCAUGACACGACGUGGCGAGCUGACACUGGUUUUAAGAAUGGUUACUUGGGCAAGUUAGAAUGUAUGUUGGAAGCCAAAAUUCCCGGUUGUGGAUUAAAGGCGUCUCCUCAUAUUGAAUCACGAGUCAAGACAUUGAAGUUAAAAUAUUUUGCCUUAACUGAGAUGUUAUCUCCAAGUGGCUUUGGAUGGAAUGAAGAGAAAAUGAUGUUGGUAUGUGAGAAAAGUGUAUAUGACGAGUGGGUGAAGUCUAAAAAAGAGGCAAGUGGUUUGUACGAUAAGCCAUUUCCACACUACUAUCUCUUGGGAGAGAUAUAUGGAAAAGAUC
Prunus avium (sweet cherry) is the source of this 624-nucleotide non-coding RNA. The record is from RefSeq and is a predicted model, not a curated record. Lineage: Eukaryota; Viridiplantae; Streptophyta; Magnoliopsida; Rosales; Rosaceae.